CCUACAGGCGGCAGCAGUCGAGAAUCAUUCACAAUGGGGGAAACCCUGAUGGUGCGACGCCGCGUGGGGGAAUGAAGGUCUUCGGAUUGUAAACCCCUGUCAUGUGGGCGCCAAUUAAAAAGAUAGUACCACAAGAGGAAGCGACGGCUAACUCUGUGCCAGCAGCCGCGGUAAUACAGAGGUCUCAAGCGUUGUUCGGAAUCACUGGGCGUAAAGCGUGCGUAGGCUGUUUCGUAAGUCGGGUGUGAAAGGUGCGGGCUCAACCCGAGGACGGCACAUGACACUGCGAGACUAGAGUAAUGGAGGGGGAACCGGAAUUCUGGGUGUAGCAGUGAAAUGCGUAGAUAUCG
This 350-nucleotide ribosomal RNA is filed under the name uncultured bacterium. RNAcentral's name for it is "partial 16S ribosomal RNA". It matches the Rfam family "Bacterial small subunit ribosomal RNA", at positions 338 to 699 of the family's 1533-position model. The record is from RNAcentral.